Molecule: long non-coding RNA, 805 nt
Filed under: Volvox carteri
Lineage: Eukaryota; Viridiplantae; Chlorophyta; Chlorophyceae; Chlamydomonadales; Volvocaceae
Description: long non-coding RNA (VCAR_LNC002622)
Source: RNAcentral
CUGAACAGAAAUGUGUGUGUAAAGGAUAUUAAUAAUAUAGAUAAUAUCUGAGACAUAUCUAUGAUAUAUUUUUCAGAUACAUCUGAGAUAUAUUUAUUUGAGGAGUCUUCGUGCUGGGACAACUUCGCAAGGACCUUUCCAACGCAUUUCCGCACAAGGUAGAGAGAUAGAGAGAGAGUCGCUGUACGCUUUAACUACCAACAACGUUUGCCCAACUGCCUCCGCCUCCGACAGACCUCCCCCUGCAUUUCUCUUUGUCUCACCGUGGCCCAGGCAAGCUCAAUGCUCCAUCUCCCAGCUCCUCCAAAUCCAGCUGCCCGCCGACCCCCCCCUCAUCCAUACCAGCGACCGCCGCGGGCACUGUGGGAAUCAGCUCCGUUGCCCGUAGAUCGGUGUAAGCAUCGUACGCGUAACCGCCGUACCCGCCGUACGUGGAGUCUGGACCGGCCGUGGGCUGGCCCAUAUUCAUGUCCUGUUCAUAUCCAAACGUGCAGCGUGGGAGCGUAGGAGCGUGGGAGAGCGGACGCCGGCACACAUGUUGAGGUGCAUGGCAAGUACAUGGCAAUGCCUGGGAAGUAAUGGCGAGUACGAGAUGUAAUAAUAAGGGUUGGGAAAUUGCCGUUCGCCACCAGUAAUUUGGUCACGUACGUAUCCGCCUGCGCUAGCUGUCAACCUCCCGACGCUGUACCCACUGGCAUGCAAGUUGCCGCAUCCUUCGGUCCGACCCGCCGGAAGUUGCGCAUCUAACCGCGGCACACGGGCACUGAUAACUGCCUGGGCCAGACUUGAACCGUACCAAAUAUUA